CCUACGGGAGGCAGCAGUGAGGAAUAUUGGUCAAUGGGCGCGAGCCUGAACCAGCCAAGUAGCGUGAAGGAUGACUGCCCUACGGGUUGUAAACUUCUUUUAUAAAGGAAUAAAGUGAGGCACGUGUGCCUUUUUGUAUGUACUUUAUGAAUAAGGAUCGGCUAACUCCGUGCCAGCAGCCGCGGUAAUACGGAGGAUCCGAGCGUUAUCCGGAUUUAUUGGGUUUAAAGGGAGCGUAGAUGGGUUGUUAAGUCAGUUGUGAAAGUUUGCGGCUCAACCGUAAAAUUGCAAUUGAUACUGGCAGCCUUGAGUACAGUUGAGGUAGGCGGAAUUCGUGGUGUAGCGGUGAAAUGCUUAGAGAUCACGAAGAACUCCGAUUGCGAAGGCAGCUUACUAAACUGCCACUGACAUUGAUGCUCGAAAGCGCGGGUAUCGAACAGGAUUAGAUACCCCGGUAGUC
This 460-nucleotide ribosomal RNA is filed under the name uncultured bacterium. RNAcentral describes it as "partial 16S ribosomal RNA". It matches the Rfam family "Bacterial small subunit ribosomal RNA", at positions 338 to 795 of the family's 1533-position model. The record is from RNAcentral.